Molecule: non-coding RNA, 24 nt
Filed under: Arabidopsis thaliana (thale cress)
Lineage: Eukaryota; Viridiplantae; Streptophyta; Magnoliopsida; Brassicales; Brassicaceae
Source: RNAcentral
GGCGCCGGAAAGAGUAGUCGAUGA